GCAAGUUGUCAUAGAAUAAAGGAGGCUGAGACAGGAGGAUCGCUUGAGUCCAUAAGUUCUGGGCUGUAGUGCACUAUGCCGAUCAGGUGUCCGCACUAAGUUCGGCAUCAAUAUGGUGACCUCCCGGGAGCGGGGGACCACCAGGUUGCCUAAGGAGAGGUGAACCGGCCCAGGUCGGAAAUGGAGCAGGUCAAAACUCCCGUGCUGAUCAGUAGUGGGAUCGCUCCUGUGAAUAGCCACUGCACUCCAGCCUGGGCAACAAAGCGAGACCCCGUCUCU
RNAcentral lists this signal recognition particle RNA (279 nucleotides) under Microtus ochrogaster (prairie vole). Its description in RNAcentral is "Metazoan signal recognition particle RNA (ENSMOCG00000012002.1)". It matches the Rfam family "Metazoan signal recognition particle RNA". From Rfam's summary of the family: The signal recognition particle (SRP) is a universally conserved ribonucleoprotein. It is involved in the co-translational targeting of proteins to membranes. The record is from RNAcentral. Lineage: Eukaryota; Metazoa; Chordata; Mammalia; Rodentia; Cricetidae.